AGUGAACGCUGGCGGUAGGCCUAACACAUGCAAGUCGAACGGCAGCACAGUAAGAGCUUGCUCUUACGGGUGGCGAGUGGCGGACGGGUGAGGAAUACAUCGGAAUCUACUUUUUCGUGGGGGAUAACGUAGGGAAACUUACGCUAAUACCGCAUACGACCUACGGGUGAAAGCAGGGGAUCUUCGGACCUUGCGCGAUUGAAUGAGCCGAUGUCGGAUUAGCUAGUUGGCGGGGUAAAGGCCCACCAAGGCGACGAUCCGUAGCUGGUCUGAGAGGAUGAUCAGCCACACUGGAACUGAGACACGGUCCAGACUCCUACGGGAGGCAGCAGUGGGGAAUAUUGGACAAUGGGCGGAAGCCUGAUCCAGCCAUGCCGCGUGGGUGAAGAAGGCCUUCGGGUUGUAAAGCCCUUUUGUUGGGAAAGAAAAGCAGCAGGUUAAUACCCCGCUGUUCUGACGGUACCCAAAGAAUAAGCACCGGCUAACUUCGU
Molecule: ribosomal RNA, 491 nt
Filed under: uncultured bacterium
Lineage: Bacteria
Description: partial 16S ribosomal RNA
Rfam family: Bacterial small subunit ribosomal RNA
Source: RNAcentral